This 307-nucleotide ribosomal RNA is filed under the name uncultured Synergistaceae bacterium. RNAcentral describes it as "bacterial SSU rRNA". It matches the Rfam family "Bacterial small subunit ribosomal RNA", at positions 1077 to 1382 of the family's 1533-position model. Lineage: Bacteria; Thermotogati; Synergistota; Synergistia; Synergistales; Synergistaceae. The record is from RNAcentral.
GGGUUAAGUCCCGCAACGAGCGCAACCCCUGCAUUCAGUUGCCAUCGGGUAAUGCCGGGCACUCUGGAAGGACUGCCAUCGACAAGAUGGAGGAAGGUGGGGAUGACGUCAAGUCAUCAUGGCCCUUAUGUCCAGGGCGACACACGUGCUACAAUGGCCGGCACAACGGGAAGCGAGUUCGCGAGGACGAGCGGAUCCCUCAAAGCCGGUCGCAGUUCGGAUUGAAGUCUGCAACUCGACUUCAUGAAGCUGGAAUCGCUAGUAAUCGUGGAUCAGCCAAGCCGCGGUGAAUACCGUUCCCGGCCUU